AGAGUUUGAUCAUGGCUCAGGACGAACGCUGGCGGCGUGCUUAACACAUGCAAGUCGAACGAUGAACCACUUCGGUGGGGAUUAGUGGCGAACGGGUGAGUAACACGUGGGCAAUCUGCCCUUCACUCUGGGACAAGCCCUGGAAACGGGGUCUAAUACCGGAUAGCACUUCCACUCGCAUGGGUGGGGGUUGAAAGCUCCGGCGGUGAAGGAUGAGCCCGCGGCCUAUCAGCUUGUUGGUGAGGUAAUGGCUCACCAAGGCGACGACGGGUAGCCGGCCUGAGAGGGCGACCGGCCACACUGGGACUGAGACACGGCCCAGACUCCUACGGGAGGCAGCAAUGGGGAAUAUUGCACAAUGGGCGAAAGCCUGAUGCAGCGACGCCGCGUGAGGGAUGACGGCCUUCGGGUUGUAAACCUCUUUCAGCAGGGGAAGAAGCGAAAGUGACGGUACCUGCAGAAGAAGCGCCGGCUAACUACGUGCCAGCAGCCGCGGUA
This 498-nucleotide ribosomal RNA is filed under the name uncultured Actinomycetes bacterium. RNAcentral describes it as "bacterial SSU rRNA". It matches the Rfam family "Bacterial small subunit ribosomal RNA", at positions 8 to 522 of the family's 1533-position model. Lineage: Bacteria; Bacillati; Actinomycetota; Actinomycetes. The record is from RNAcentral.